GAACGCGAAGAUCCCGCAAGGGAUUUGUAGAGUGGCAAACGGGUGAGUAACACGUAGGUGACCUGCCUUCGAGUGGGGGAUAACGUUCCGAAAGGGACGCUAAUACCGCAUAACAUCCUGCCUUUGAAGAGGUGGAGAUCAAAGCUGGGGAUCGCAAGACCUAGCACUUGAAGAGGGGCCCGCGUCCGAUUAGCUAGUUGGCGGGGUAAUGGCCCACCAAGACGAUGAUCGGUAUCCGGCCUGAGAGGGCGCACGGACACACUGGAACUGAAACACGGUCCAGACUCCUACGGGAGGCAGCAGUGGGGAAUUUUGCGCAAUGGGGGAAACCCUGACGCAGCAACGCCGCGUGGAGGAUGAAGUCCUUCGGGACGUAAACUCCUUUCGAUCGGGACGAUUAUGACGGUACCGGAAGAAGAAGCCCCGGCUAACUUCGUG
RNAcentral lists this ribosomal RNA (438 nucleotides) under uncultured bacterium. RNAcentral describes it as "bacterial SSU rRNA". It matches the Rfam family "Bacterial small subunit ribosomal RNA", at positions 64 to 507 of the family's 1533-position model. The record is from RNAcentral.